CUCAUUAUAAUAGGGACUCAUUCGUGGAAAUAACAUAUUGUAAUUUCAGAGAUGCCUAAUAAAAGGAUUAAUCACUGAAGUAAUUCUACUCAGUGCAGUUUCAUCAUGUUGAUCAAGAUCGAGGAUCAUCAGGAUAGUGUUUAUUGAACUCUGCAUGAAGUCACAAAACAUGUAGAGGGUCGGCCAUUCCAGGACAGCUGAAUUGAUUGUUCUGUCUCUGCUCUUAAUUUGCUUUUUUUUUCCCCCUCCCAAUUUCAAGUUACUGGUUUAUUUCUUGCUUCAGUUUCAGCAUUGGGUUCCUCUGUUCACAUCAGCCAGCUGACCCUUUUUAUUUUCUCAUCUGAGAAGCAAUAUGGGGCCUAUUUCAUUUAGUGGUGUUUUUCCCAGUACAUAUUUUAUUUCAUGAAACAUGGAUCAUUCCUGCCUUGGUUAUGGAUUUAUCAAAUGGUUGAGGUUUCAUAGAGUGUAAAAUCUGUCUACUCCUGGAACAGCCAUUACCAGCAGCACCUGUGGCCACCUCCGUUCACUCAUGUCUGUUCUAGGAGUUCUUAAUUGGUCCAGUCUCUGGUUUCUGUGUCUCACAAAAUACUUCUUUAGACAUUUGUUCCCAGUCUGGUUGAUGGUGACACAUGGAUUGAAAUCAGUUGUUUUACAGAUGGCAGCUGGAUAGGGGAGAGAGAGAAUGCUGAUCACAGAAGCAGCCCCUGCCUGGGCACCAUGCUGCAAAUGGCGGAGUCAGACCAGAUCCCCAGUCUUAACCCUUUGACAUCUUUUUCUGGUUGCUACACCAUAAGAAAGCCUGGGUGUUUUAGUCAGCUUUUUUCACUGCUGUGACUAAAAGGACCCAACCAGAACAACUGUAGAGGAGGAAAAGGUUAUCAGAGGGCUCAUGGUUUCAGAGGUCUGAGUCCAUAGAAAGCUAGCUCCAUUCCUCAGGGCUGGAGGUGAG
Molecule: long non-coding RNA, 949 nt
Filed under: Marmota monax (woodchuck)
Lineage: Eukaryota; Metazoa; Chordata; Mammalia; Rodentia; Sciuridae
Source: RNAcentral